UUUAAUAACGUGGAUGGGGCGACUAGAUCUAAAAAGGACUGGAAUAGAGGUGGGUGGUCGGGCGUGGGUGGGUUGUCGGGAGUAUGGUCGGGACACAGAGCCAACGGGGGCAAAGUCGAUGUGAGAGUUCGGUUCAGCGGCCACUAAACCGGGUGCUGCAUUGGUAAGGCCGCCCCCUCUAGGUGUCCUUAGUACAGACUGCGGCCUUCAACACUACCCCGGCGUCGGAGACCCCUACGUCAACUACUGUUGUAAGUACCUGUCGGUGUUGUUCGAUUACUUCUUGUCCGUAGAGGACGAGGUUGAAGAGCUUAAAGUCAGUCUUUCCGUCAUCUUCAUUAGGUCUGUAAACUGCUUAUGUUCGCCACCGAGUAAUGACUUUAACCCAAACCUCCUUACGAUUUCGAUGGGAACGAGGUCUUCGAAUUAGAAUUCAAAUCGCGGACCUGAUACUCGUUCCAGACGCAACUCGGAGCUCGCUAACAAGACAGUCUUUGCUUCUAUGAUUUCAAAAAACGCCUUCUGUAGGUGUUCCAAAAACCGUAGGGCACACCUGUGACCUCACAAUUUCCCGCGCUACCAAAGUAGUUCGGUCUUCGCCAUUGUAAGUAUUUCUCCUGCGAUCCCUACCUGUCCUGCCCUCACGUAUCGGACGCACGCCGGCUCCUUAAGGAAGAGGCACUGUAUAGGCUCCGAAGGUCGUUCUACCUCUUCCUAACGAAAGUCUAACGUAAACAGUAAAAACAAUACCCGGUACACGACCAUGGAUCUUGUUUUGUACUAAUACCGUGGUAUCUGAUGACCCCACGCAACCGUUUAUGCCUCUUGUAUAGUGUUAAGUUAACCACACUCAAACAUGAACUCAAGAACGAACUCCGUCAGGCCGCCGAAUUCUUACUAUACUACCUGUUGUUAUACUUGUGGUUAGACCAACCAACGGUGAACAAAAAGGUCUAAAAGAAGGAACUGUUACAGCUGGAACCUUAAAAGUUGUUCUUGGUGUUACAAGAAGGAGCGUAAUCACUGAAACUAGUCUGGUUGUAGUUCUUGUACUAUUGUUACCGCUGACUGUAACCCUUCCCGGGAUGCAGGAUGAGCUUUACGUACUAAGCAGUCCCAUGACUAGAUACGAUACGAGCAACGUUGUAACGACUAACGUGACUCUCUUGAAGGUUGGUCGGUCAACUUCCGCCGUUAUACCUCCUUCUACAAACGUUCAAGUGCUUGCUGUCCUUACUAAGUCGAGUACAUAGAAGAAGUCGUCGGCCGUUGGAUUACCUACAUGUAUGUGGUGAUGGAUACGAACCUGGUUACCUGAAAUAUCUCGUGUACACCUCGGCUAUGGGGUCAGACCCUACUCAACUCAAAAUAUGAUUUCCUCGUCUUACGGUUUACGGUCGCACUUUAGUUGUGGCGGGCGCGUUUAUACGUCCGUCUGUACUAGUUUAAGCACCUGUUUGAUUACCGUAGUUAGUCGUUCUCCACGUAGACGAUAUGGCGAUCUCCCAAAUGACUGACAGGCCGUUCUCGUCAUCUAUGUAAAGGUCAACUAUGUGAUUCCUGACGCUAACCUGUCUUUUAUGGUCCUCAGUCCGAGCUAUACAGACGUACGUUUCUACCGUUGAAACCUGGCUCAUAGGUACCGCUACUGGUCAGUCCGGCCGAGGUCUUGUUCUCCAGUGCUGUACUACUUCCUCGUCAGCGUUGUUACUGUAGAGUCUAUGAAGUCAAACGUUCCGUAUGUGACGUCCGAUAGUCGUUUUACAAAUAACUGAACGGCCUACUGCCGUCGUGGUGACGUAAACCUGUCUUCCGUCUCCCUGAAGGAUCUUCUUUUAUACAUAAGUCUAGACCUAAGGUCUGUCUGGGUACCCAGUCCCCAGACAGGGCGAUGGUGGCGUUUGCAUACAAACGGUUGUUAAUCUUCCCAAGAAACGAUGCAGUGGCGGUCUUCUUGAUACGUCCUUAAAAGAACACGUACUCUUGGGCUCCAAGAAUGCUUAUUGCCCAAGUCGCAACUUUUCGGUCCAACAACUUCUACUCGAUUAGCUGGUACUCCACUACAGUCAGUAAUAGUCUUCCAUAACGGUCAGACUAGUCCUUCGUCUGUUUGUGAGGGGUAUGAAUUGUACCUCUGUGGGUUGACUUGGCCUUAAAAGCUGUUACCAUGAUAGCCUAAUACUAAUGGAUGUAACCACAGUUAGGUCUUUCGUAACACACGGCUGCGUGAGUUUAUACUGUAGUGUAGUCGAGUCAACAAGAAGUGCGGCCAGGGUGCCGGGCUUCCUACCUAACAUCAAAAGACCCUGUACCAUUGGGCGGAGUACAAACAAUAACUAGGUUACAUGUCGUUCUCUUCGGUUGGUGACUGGUGAGUCGUCUCUCUGCUCUAAUAUCGAACCUUCAAUGUACUACGGAACGAGUAAACGAAUUUACUCAUAAUACGACCGACCGGGCACUCCUUUCUACCAACCUUUCAGUGGAAGGGGCGUGAACGACUAUCGUAAAAGAGAGCAUUACUUUGACCUCGAACACAGUAGGUAUAACGGGAGGUAAAGCUACCCUUUUUCGACUUCUACGGGGAGUGGUUCGUGUGUUAUAGCUUCCACUUCACCCUUUGCGACAUGCUCACGUACUUCAACGUCCCUUUAAAGAGUGGGGUACGUGCACUACGAGACACCGCGGAAGAACGUGGUAGCCUGUUAUAUAGACUCCUUCUAACUGAGUCGUUUGAGAUGGCAGAGUGUCCCCAGGUACUGGUUGUUACAGGAGAGGAGCUGUAGGUGCUGUAUAUCACUCAUCGAUAGGUAGUAACCUUGACCAUCGUACUCGACGUAUAGGCUUCAUUAUCCGUUAUCGGCUCGCGGAGUAUUGAGUAGGAACAUAAGUACUUAAGCUUCAGGUUUAGCAUACUGGAUAUGUACUCUCGUUCGACGGGCUUCUGCGUUGUUUAAUAACGUUCGUGGCGUUAAAUAGUAAAUUUCCUCGAAGCUACUACAGUACAACAUGACUUUAUAAUACUAAAGGAAGGUGUAGGCGGAGUAGUAUACACAGUAUGAGACCUUGACCUUUCAGCGAGGGGUGGAGAAGUUGUUGUAUUGGUACUCAGGUCUGUCGUUAAACGUUUUAAAGACUAACUACGCGACCCCAGCGUAAUAAAGGUUUAAGUCAGGGUCUCUGGUACCGAAGAAGUACGGCUCAGUGGCACUGAAGAGGUAGACGAGAAAGUCGUAGAAGCUGUUGAGACACUUAUUACGCCGAGGGUUCCGCAGGUAACGGUAGCAGUCCAGGUUGGUUACGUAGAAGUAAUAGUGGACGUUUGUUGACUUUCAAACCGUUAUGUCCUAAAGUCAAGAAGGUAGCGGUUGAAGUGAUACCUCAAUUUUACAUAAGUUGUAUAAAAAUAUUGAAUGACGUGAUCGACAAGGUAGGUAAUCUCCCACGGUGUAGGUAUAAGCGACGUGGUACAUCGGAUGUCCGGACCAGACGUUAUGGUAAAGCGUAAAACGUUUGUUACAGUCGUCCAUACAAUCUGUUAUAAUGAGAUUAAAGUCACUUCAUCAUCAAGUUAAUGACCCAUUAUAGGACCCAACAGAGAGAGAUCGACCUAGUUAAAGGAGUGAUAACCCGACCUCAUUCGUGUUUAAGAACCCUCGUCUAAACUGACAUUCGAGCGUCCGGGUAUCAGGUGGGUUAGGUCGACUUGUAUGACAUUUUUGUUUAGGUUGAUACAGUCAGUGAGUAAACUAAGUCAUUAUUAUACUUACUCAUGUCGAACGUCACAUUUACGG
RNAcentral lists this ribosomal RNA (3791 nucleotides) under Triticum aestivum (bread wheat). Its description in RNAcentral is "partial small subunit ribosomal RNA". The record is from RNAcentral. Lineage: Eukaryota; Viridiplantae; Streptophyta; Magnoliopsida; Poales; Poaceae.